ACGUCGUCGGAGCUCGACGAAGCCGGCAGAGUCCAGUAUAUCUUUGGUCCCGUGACUGCUGUUCCGGUGAGUUUUGUGCCGAUCGUCGACAGCGAGUGGCAGCGGCGAUCUUACCAUAGACACCACCAAUCCGUGCCCUAGCUGUGAACGCGAAGGUCCAUCGCCGGUGCUUUGCCUUUGGAUCGUUGCUUUGUGAGAGCAGAUCGCUGAUCAAGAAGGGAGGUCUUAGCCCUAGCCUCGACCUUUCCUCUGCAUCGCCGGCUUGGAUCUACUGUCUUGGGUUCUAGCUUCCAUUUCGCACACGUAGGUUGUGCUGUUCUGGUGGUGGACAGCAGCUCGAUCCGGGCAGAGAGGAGGCUCUGUUCCUUUUGAUUGAGUG
This is a long non-coding RNA of Zingiber officinale, 379 nucleotides long. RefSeq lists it as uncharacterized. The transcript has 3 exons. NCBI's taxonomy places the organism in Eukaryota, Viridiplantae, Streptophyta, Magnoliopsida, Zingiberales, Zingiberaceae. The record is from RefSeq and is a predicted model, not a curated record.